CCCUGCCCUUUGUACACACCGCCCGUCGCUACUACCGAUUGAAUGGCUUAGUGAGACUCUCGGAUCGGGUUUUAGGAACCGGCAACGGAUCCUUUCUUCUGAGAAGUUUGUCAAACUUGGUCAUUUAGAGG
This 131-nucleotide ribosomal RNA is filed under the name Acaulospora sp. Its description in RNAcentral is "partial small subunit ribosomal RNA". It matches the Rfam family "Eukaryotic small subunit ribosomal RNA", at positions 1651 to 1779 of the family's 1831-position model. The record is from RNAcentral. Lineage: Eukaryota; Fungi; Glomeromycota; Glomeromycetes; Diversisporales; Acaulosporaceae.